RNAcentral lists this ribosomal RNA (320 nucleotides) under uncultured Prevotella sp. RNAcentral describes it as "bacterial SSU rRNA". It matches the Rfam family "Bacterial small subunit ribosomal RNA", at positions 28 to 339 of the family's 1533-position model. Lineage: Bacteria; Pseudomonadati; Bacteroidota; Bacteroidia; Bacteroidales; Prevotellaceae. The record is from RNAcentral.
GAUGAACGCUAGCUACAGGCUUAACACAUGCAAGUCGAGGGGCAGCAUGGGGUUUGCUUGCAAACUCUGAUGGCGACCGGCGCACGGGUGAGUAACGCGUAUCCAACCUUCCCCCCAGUAGGGCAUAGCCCGGUGAAAAUCGGAUUAAUACCCUAUGUUGUAUUUUGAGGACAUCUGACGAAUACCAAAGGUUUACCGCUAGGGGAUGGGGAUGCGUCUGAUUAGGUAGUCGGCGGGGUAACGGCCCACCGAGCCAUCGAUCAGUAGGGGUUCUGAGAGGAAGGUCCCCCACAUUGGAACUGAGACACGGUCCAAACUCC